GAUGAACGCUGGCGGUGCGCCUAACACAUGCAAGUCGAGCGAGAAAGUUCUUCGGAAUGAGUACAGCGGCGAACGAGUGCGUAACACGUGAGAAUCUCCCCUUUAGUGAAGAAUACCCAUGAGAAAUCGUGGCUAAUACUGCAUAUGUCCGUUGUAAGAAAUUGCGAUGGAGAAAGGUGGCUUUAUGCUGCUGCUAAAGGAUGAGCUUGCGGCCUAUCAGCUAGUUGGUGAGGUAAUGGCUCACCAAGGCUAUGACGGGUAGCUGAUCUGAGAGGAUGAUCAGCCACGCUGGAACUGAGACACGGUCCAGACUCCUACGGGAGGCAGCAGUGAGGAAUCUUGCACAAUGGACGAAAGUCUGAUGCAGCGACACCGCGUGAAGGAUGAAGGUCUUCGGAUUGUAAACUUCUGUUAAGUGAGACGAAAUACCCAUGCCUAAUACGUAUGGGGAUGAC
RNAcentral lists this ribosomal RNA (455 nucleotides) under uncultured bacterium. Its description in RNAcentral is "bacterial SSU rRNA". It matches the Rfam family "Bacterial small subunit ribosomal RNA", at positions 28 to 473 of the family's 1533-position model. The record is from RNAcentral.